This 248-nucleotide ribosomal RNA is filed under the name uncultured bacterium. Its description in RNAcentral is "partial 16S ribosomal RNA". It matches the Rfam family "Bacterial small subunit ribosomal RNA", at positions 1255 to 1500 of the family's 1533-position model. The record is from RNAcentral.
UCGUGAGGCGGAGCUAAUCCCUUAAAGCCAUUCUCAGUUCGGAUUGUAGGCUGAAACUCGCCUACAUGAAGCUGGAGUUACUAGUAAUCGCAGAUCAGAAUGCUGCGGUGAAUGCGUUCCCGGGUCUUGUACACACCGCCCGUCACACCACGGAAGUUGGGGGCGCCCGAAGCCACUUAGCUAACCCUUUUGGGAAGCGAGUGUCGAAGGUGAAAUCAAUAACUGGGGUGAAGUCGUAACAAGGUAGC